RNAcentral lists this transfer RNA (72 nucleotides) under Aspergillus nidulans. RNAcentral describes it as "tRNA-Pro". It matches the Rfam family "tRNA". Rfam says of the family: Transfer RNA (tRNA) molecules are approximately 80 nucleotides in length. Their secondary structure includes four short double-helical elements and three loops (D, anti-codon, and T loops). Further hydrogen bonds mediate the characteristic L-shaped molecular structure. tRNAs have two regions of fundamental functional importance: the anti-codon, which is responsible for specific mRNA codon recognition, and the 3' end, to which the tRNAs corresponding amino acid is attached (by aminoacyl-tRNA synthetases). tRNAs cope with the degeneracy of the genetic code in two manners: having more than one tRNA (with a specific anti-codon) for a particular amino acid; and 'wobble' base-pairing, i.e. permitting non-standard base-pairing at the 3rd anti-codon position. Lineage: Eukaryota; Fungi; Ascomycota; Eurotiomycetes; Eurotiales; Aspergillaceae. The record is from RNAcentral. RNAcentral also lists the same sequence under 1 other name.
GCUCUGUUGGUCUAGUGGUAUGAUUCUCGCUUAGGGUGCGAGAGGUCCCGCGUUCGAUCCGCGGAUAGAGCC